GACGAACGCUGGCGGCGUGCUUAACACAUGCAAGUCGAACGGAAAGGCCCUGCUUGCAGGGUACUCGAGUGGCGAACGGGUGAGUAACACGUGGGUGAUCUGCCCUGCACUUCGGGAUAAGCCUGGGAAACUGGGUCUAAUACCGGAUAGGAGCCAUUUUUAGUGUGAUGGUUGGAAAGUUUUUUCGGUGUAGGAUGAGCUCGCGGCCUAUCAGCUUGUUGGUGGGGUAAUGGCCUACCAAGGCGGCGACGGGUAGCCGGCCUGAGAGGGUGGACGGCCACAUUGGGACUGAGAUACGGCCCAGACUCCUACGGGAGGCAGCAGUGGGGAAUCUUGCACAAUGGGCGCAAGCCUGAUGCAGCGACGCCGCGUGGGGGAUGACGGCCUUCGGGUUGUAAACUCCUUUCGCUAGGGACGAAGCUUUUUGUGACGGUACCUAGAUAAGAAGCACCGGCUAACUACGUG
This 465-nucleotide ribosomal RNA is filed under the name uncultured bacterium. RNAcentral describes it as "partial 16S ribosomal RNA". It matches the Rfam family "Bacterial small subunit ribosomal RNA", at positions 28 to 507 of the family's 1533-position model. The record is from RNAcentral.